GCUUGGAUUUACACCAUCUAUCAUCUUAAUGGAACACAAGAAAAUAUUGAUAUUAGAAGUGCAGUUGAGGAUUUAGGAAUCAGUUUGUGUCCACUGUGGUUGGUAUGAUGUCAAGAUUUAUUCUUCUAUAUUUACCUAGAGGUGAUGAGAAACUGCUUUUUUACUUUUUAAUGUUUUUUUUUCAUUUAAAUUUAAAUGUAAACAUUUGUUUUAAAUACAUUUUUGUUUGCAGUCUUAAAACUAAUAUAAAAUAAAUUAGAAUAUAUAAAUACUUACGGGUUUGUUUUUAUGUCUCAAAUAUAAAAGUUACAAUAAUGAUGAAAAAUGAUCUUUAAUUUUCUCAGUAAUUUCAAGCCACACGAAUUUAAACGUUUUGUACGUUAAAUCACUUUAAUUUUUGCAGUUUUAUCAUAAAAACAGAGUGUUUUCAGAGGAUAGAUGUUUGUUCACAGUGCAGGAGGUUUUUGUACGGCCGCUUUAUGAGUUUGUAUCACUGUGGAGGACUUUUGGUGGAGGAACCAAACUCAUCUUUCACUCUGGCCCCAUGCUCAGGCCCUCAGUCUCUCUGCUUCCCCCCUCCUCUGAGCGGCUCUCUGGGGCCUCGGCCACGCUGGUCUGCCUGCUGAGCGGCUACUCUCCUCAGGGAGCCGUGGUGAGCUGGGAGGUGGACGCUACAGAGGUGACAGAGGGGGUCCUGAGCAGCUCCGAGGAGGAGAAGAGCGGACGCUACAGCAGCAGCAGCACCCUGAGCCUGAGCCAGGAGCGCUGGAUGGAAGGAGAGCUGUUCUCCUGCAGGGUCCUCCAUCAUGGCCACAGCCAGACCCGCUCCCUCCGCAGGAGCCAGUGUGAGGGCUAGAGGGGCUGGCUGAAGCCCAGGACAGCAGCUCUGUGUGUGGGGAGCAGGAGGAACACACCUGCUGCUCUCAUCAAUAGGAGUUUGAAUGUUUGUAGAGGAAACUAAAGCUUUGUGUGGCAGAGAACAACAGCUGUAAAGUGUUGGACAACAACAACUUAGAGAGUAAUGUGAGGAGCUCAGCAGCUAGAUGUGACUGUGCUUCAUGACUGUCAUGUUGAUGACUCGUGUUUUUGCUAAUAAAGCUUUCA
Non-coding RNA from Centropristis striata (black sea bass), 1104 nucleotides. The record is from the annotation of a RefSeq genome assembly. Lineage: Eukaryota; Metazoa; Chordata; Actinopteri; Perciformes; Serranidae.